UACGUAGGGCGCAAGCGUUGUCCGGAUUCACUGGGUGUAAAGGGUGCGUAGGCGGGAAGGUAAGUCCGCGGUGAAAUCUCACAGCUCAACUGUGAAACUGCCGUUGAUACUGCUUUUCUUGAGUUCGGGAGAGGUUGAUGGAAUUCCAGGUGUAGCGGUGAAAUGCGUAGAUAUCUGGAAAAACACCAGUGGCGAAGGCGGUCAACUGGCCCGUAACUGACGCUGAGGCACGAAAGCGUGGGGAGCGAACAGG
Molecule: ribosomal RNA, 253 nt
Filed under: uncultured bacterium
Lineage: Bacteria
Description: partial 16S ribosomal RNA
Rfam family: Bacterial small subunit ribosomal RNA
Source: RNAcentral